AAUGAACGCUGACGGCAUGCCUAACACAUGCAAGUCGAACGAAGGCUUCGGCCUUAGUGGCGCACGGGUGCGUAACGCGUGGGAAUCUGCCCUCAGGUUCGGAAUAACAGCGAGAAAUUGCUGCUAAUACCGGAUGAUAUCGCGAGAUCAAAGAUUUAUCGCCUGAGGAUGAGCCCGCGUAGGAUUAGCUAGUUGGUGUGGUAAAGGCGCACCAAGGCGACGAUCCUUAGCUGGUCUGAGAGGAUGAUCAGCCACACUGGGACUGAGACACGGCCCAGACUCCUACGGGAGGCAGCAGUGGGGAAUAUUGGACAAUGGGCGAAAGCCUGAUCCAGCAAUGCCGCGUGAGUGAUGAAGGCCUUAGGGUUGUAAAGCUCUUUUACCCGGGAUGAUAAUGACAGUACCGGGAGAAUAAGCUCCGGCUAACUCCGUGCCAGCAGCCGCGGUAA
RNAcentral lists this ribosomal RNA (449 nucleotides) under uncultured bacterium. RNAcentral describes it as "partial 16S ribosomal RNA". It matches the Rfam family "Bacterial small subunit ribosomal RNA", at positions 29 to 523 of the family's 1533-position model. The record is from RNAcentral.